AGCGAACGCUGGCGGAAUGCUUAACACAUGCAAGUCGCACGCCCCGCAAGGGGUAAGUAGAGUGGCAAACGGGUGAGUAACACGUGGGUGACCUGCCCUCGAGUGGGGGAUAACGUCCCGAAAGGGACGCUAAUACCGCAUAACAUCCUGCCUUUUAAGAGGCGGACAUCAAAGCUGGGGAUCGCAAGACCUAGCGCUUGAAGAGGGGCCCGCGCCUGAUUAGCUAGUUGGUGGGGAAUGGCUCACCAAGGCAACGAUCAGUAUCCGGCCUGAGAGGACGAUCAGCCACACUGGGACUGAGACACGGCCCAGACUCCUACGGGAGGCAGCAGUGGGGAAUAUUGGACAAUGGGGGCCAACCCCGACCCAGCCAUGCCGCGUGAGUG
RNAcentral lists this ribosomal RNA (386 nucleotides) under uncultured bacterium. RNAcentral's name for it is "bacterial SSU rRNA". It matches the Rfam family "Bacterial small subunit ribosomal RNA", at positions 29 to 407 of the family's 1533-position model. The record is from RNAcentral.